UCCCUGGUGGUCCAAUAGCUAGGAUUCUACACUUUCACUGCUGUGGGCCCAGGUUAGAUUCCUGGCUGAGAAA
RNAcentral lists this transfer RNA (73 nucleotides) under Ovis aries (sheep). It matches the Rfam family "tRNA". Rfam says of the family: Transfer RNA (tRNA) molecules are approximately 80 nucleotides in length. Their secondary structure includes four short double-helical elements and three loops (D, anti-codon, and T loops). Further hydrogen bonds mediate the characteristic L-shaped molecular structure. tRNAs have two regions of fundamental functional importance: the anti-codon, which is responsible for specific mRNA codon recognition, and the 3' end, to which the tRNAs corresponding amino acid is attached (by aminoacyl-tRNA synthetases). tRNAs cope with the degeneracy of the genetic code in two manners: having more than one tRNA (with a specific anti-codon) for a particular amino acid; and 'wobble' base-pairing, i.e. permitting non-standard base-pairing at the 3rd anti-codon position. Lineage: Eukaryota; Metazoa; Chordata; Mammalia; Artiodactyla; Bovidae. The record is from Rfam by way of RNAcentral.